This 933-nucleotide ribosomal RNA is filed under the name Enterococcus faecium. Its description in RNAcentral is "bacterial SSU rRNA". It matches the Rfam family "Bacterial small subunit ribosomal RNA". The record is from RNAcentral. Lineage: Bacteria; Bacillati; Bacillota; Bacilli; Lactobacillales; Enterococcaceae.
UUUUUUUUUUUUUUUUUUUUCCCCGCAGACGAACGCUGGCGGCGUGCCUAAUACAUGCAAGUCGAACGCUUCUUUUUCCACCGGAGCUUGCUCCACCGGAAAAAGAGGAGUGGCGAACGGGUGAGUAACACGUGGGUAACCUGCCCAUCAGAAGGGGAUAACACUUGGAAACAGGUGCUAAUACCGUAUAACAAUCGAAACCGCAUGGUUUUGAUUUGAAAGGCGCUUUCGGGUGUCGCUGAUGGAUGGACCCGCGGUGCAUUAGCUAGUUGGUGAGGUAACGGCUCACCAAGGCCACGAUGCAUAGCCGACCUGAGAGGGUGAUCGGCCACAUUGGGACUGAGACACGGCCCAAACUCCUACGGGAGGCAGCAGUAGGGAAUCUUCGGCAAUGGACGAAAGUCUGACCGAGCAACGCCGCGUGAGUGAAGAAGGUUUUCGGAUCGUAAAACUCUGUUGUUAGAGAAGAACAAGGAUGAGAGUAACUGUUCAUCCCUUGACGGUAUCUAACCAGAAAGCCACGGCUAACUACGUGCCAGCAGCCGCGGUAAUACGUAGGUGGCAAGCGUUGUCCGGAUUUAUUGGGCGUAAAGCGAGCGCAGGCGGUUUCUUAAGUCUGAUGUGAAAGCCCCCGGCUCAACCGGGGAGGGUCAUUGGAAACUGGGAGACUUGAGUGCAGAAGAGGAGAGUGGAAUUCCAUGUGUAGCGGUGAAAUGCGUAGAUAUAUGGAGGAACACCAGUGGCGAAGGCGGCUCUCUGGUCUGUAACUGACGCUGAGGCUCGAAAGCGUGGGGAGCAAACAGGAUUAGAUACCCUGGUAGUCCACGCCGUAAACGAUGAGUGCUAAGUGUUGGAGGGUUUCCGCCCUUCAGUGCUGCAGCUAACGCAUUAAGCACUCCGCCUGGAGCUCACAGGUGGGUGGUUAGUUCUGCU